AGUUAGAGGAGAGAGGGAGAGAGAGACUCUGCUUUUGGUGAGUCACAAAUGGCAGCAGUCUCCUUUUGCCGAAGCGUUAACCUCAUACCUACCCGCAUCGUCUCCAGAGGUGAAUUAAAUCAGCACGGGUCACCCACCGCAACCAGACCGUUGCUAUUUUCGAGGAGGAAUACGCUGAUCCGAUCAGAACUCAGGGAUCUUGAUCUCUAUUACGGGAGAAACAACGAAGCAAUCCAUGCCAGUCGGAGCUAUUCCUCCUCGCCGUCCGUGGUGGUGGCGUCGCCCGCGGUAACAUCCCUUGCGCUAUCCCCCAAGAGGUCGAAGAAGAACGUCUGCCUCUUCUUCUGCGAAGAGAUGAGGAACCUCGCGGAGCUUAUCGCCAUGGAAAGCGAUGCAAUCGAGCUAAGGAGCAUCGAUUGGAGGAACUUUGAAGAUGGAUUUCCCAACUUAUUCAUCUCUAAUGCUCAUGGAAUUCGUGGACAACAUGUUUCCUUUUUGGCCUCAUUUAGUUCUCCUGGGGUAAUAUUUGAGCAGUUAUCAAUCAUCUAUGCUCUACCAAGGUUGUUCGUCUCCUCAUUUACAGUAGUCCUUCCAUUCUUUCCUACGGGAUCUUACGAGCGUAUGGAAGAAGAAGGAGAUGUAGCAACAGCUUUCACUCUUGCUAGAAUCUUGUCAAACAUACCGAUUUCAAGGGGAGGACCAAGCAGUUUAGUGAUUUUUGAUAUCCAUGCUUUGCAGGAAAGGUUCUACUUUGGGGAUAAUGUACUGCCAUUCUUUGAGAGUGGGAUGCCUCUGCUUAAGAACAGACUUCAGCAGCUUCCAGAUUCUGACAAUGUCAGACAGCUUCCUGAGAAGAACAUUUUCGUCGGAUGGAGAAAACGAUCAGUGUGUGCCGAAUGGGAUUCAACUGCUAGAUGGAGUUGCUCAAUCGGCCGUCGGAUGGGAUGUUCGCACAACACUUUGGCUCGGUUGAGAUGUGUUCGCACAUCCUGGAGAAGACCGCCGAUGCGGACGGCGUGGAACUACUCAAUAAGGACAUUCACACGAAGAGGACAUGGUUGGGGUGAGGUAUUUGACGGAGGUUAGGGAGUGGUAGUUUUGAUGAGUGCAAGGGUUUUUAGAUGGUAGAAUAAUAAAUAGUGAAGUUUGGGUGUUGAUAGGUAAAUAGAGUAGUUUUAAGUGUUAGGUAUGUAAAAAACCCCUAGAAUUUAAUGAUUAAAGAUCAAUUGAUUUCACUCAUUGAGAUGCUCGUUUUGACUGUGAACAUAUUAAAUUCAUAAAUCAUUUGGUCCAAUAAAUAGUGUUAUAAUUUUCAAGUAUAUUUUAAGUUGUUGAUUUGGUUUUGGAUCAUAACACUUUUGGUGUUGUUGGGUUUAUUCCAUCAAACCAUUCGAUUUGACUUUAAAUUUGUUGAUAUCGGAGUUUGAACGGUCCUAUAGUUUAUUUCGAAAGUUUUCAAUUCAAUUGUAGUUGUUUUGAUCCUAUGUUUUUUUUUUUUGUAUUAUUUUAGAAAUGAUAAAAAUGCAUGUGAUACUAGUGCAUAUAUUUGAAGCUUAUCAUGUACUUCUAAAAUAUGUUUAAACUUCUCACAUCUAUAGUCUUUUAUUUUAAUUUCUAAAAGUUUAAAUUAAUUUAAGUUUAUGCAGGCUUUGAAAAUCUGCACUCGGUUCAUAUUUGAUUGCUUUUUGGGUCAAAUUUUUAUAAGGCAUUAGAUAUAAGCUCAGUUAUUACUCUGAGAUUUAGCCCUCUUACAAGAAUUUGUUGUAAGAUUUUCUACAUGCACAAGUCUUGUAUUUAAUUCUCUCUCUUAAUCAUGAUAGAGAAAAUUUGAGUAAAGCUACUCCAUAAAAUGUACCAUACUUGCUUUCAGCAGCAACAUUUUGGAUUGGGAAAGAAUAUACCACUAUUGAAUCAAAGGGGAUGGUGAAAGAGUGAUGAAAAACUUAAUCAAGUUCUUAUGAUUUUAUUGUUUCAUGUAGUCAUGGACAUUGUUGAACUUAUUCAAUAAAUAUAGUUAACCCAACCUACUUUUUUGGGCAAAUAUAUGUCACAUUAUCCAAGGGGAUUUUGUUAACAUGGGGUGAACGUAUGGACCUAAGGUGAAAGUGUGGAAAUCUUGAAACCAGCUCCUUAAUUCAUGCUGCUGCAAUUAAUUUAGGUGCAGACCGGUGGCCAACUUGCAACUACCCUGUUUUUGUUCCAACAUUCAUUAUGCAACCUCCAAUCAACUCCUGUAAUUCCAUAGUCUUCCUAGCAAGCUCCUACCCUAGUGUCUAUUCCAGCUCACUCCAACUUCUCAGCCAUCGAAUGGCAACCUCUUGCCUUCUGAAGGCCACCUGAUUAUCCCUCAGUUGCUCCUUACAUGCCAUUCACUUGCUUUACUUCCUAUCUCCUUCCAACUAUGCCUCCUUCCAUACAUGGCCAUAGCUACACCUCCCUCCACCUGCUAGACACUCCAUUCAUAAAAAGUUAUUGCCAACUUUUUCCUUUGAAAGAAGCUUUUCAUCUAGCUUAUAUGGAAUGUGAUUCUUUGCUACAUUCAUUAUAAAAUAUUAUGUUAAUAUCUUUCCUAGUUUUUUCCUUUUUAUUAAGCUGAUUAUGGCAUAAUUUUUUAUCAUUGUUUUCGUUCUAUUCUAGACUCAGAACAUAUACUAUAAAUCAUGUUUGUGCCUUUACUAUCAUUUGUAAAUAUGAAAAGUAUAGUAUUCUUCUCUCAUAUUUUUUUCAUUUGGCAAUAUUUCUAUUAUUCAUCUUUCUGUAUUUUCAGUCCUCUAUUACCUCUCUACCUUGCACAUUCUCUCAUAAUUCUAAGGCUUCCUAAAACAUGACAAUGGCCAAGAAAAACGUUCCUUGUUUGGUUAUGCCUCUUGCCAUGAAUCAAGAUCGCAUGAUAACUCUGGUAUCCAAGAAACUUUCACUAAGUCACUAAUUAUCUCAUUCAAACCAAAGCCUUCAACAUAAAAAAUUACUAUAAGUGCGGUUGCUAAAAAAGCGAUAUGAUCUUGAAUGCAUUUACUGUAAAAAAAAAAUAUAAACCCAUAAUCUUCAAUUGUAGACUCUAGAGUCUUUAAUCAUAUAACAGUGGAUGUCUGCUUAAUUUGUACCCUUCAUCCUUGUUUAAAAGACCAUAUAUUUAAAAUUAACAACGGAUCAACAUCACUAGUAAUUGUUAUUGGGAUUAUCAAUUUCACUAGCUCUUUAAUUCUUAACUCAAUACUCCUUGUUCCUAACUUUCCUGCAACAUUAUUAAUAAGUAAAAUUAUUUAGGAUAUAAAUGUUUUUCCUAUUUUUUUUCUACUUCUGAAUUUUAGGAUAAGAACUCAAGGAGUAUAAUUGGCAAUACUAAGAAAAAUAUUGGUCAUUUUUUUUUAAAUUAUGAAAGGAAUUUUGAAAGGCAAGAGAAAAUGUUCAUAUGCAUCUUUCUUUAACAUGCCACGAUUAUGUUGUACACUUUCAUCUUGGUCAUCAAAAUUUUAUAUAUCAUAAGAAAUUGUUCCUCAAACACUCAAGCUCCCUACCAUAAUCAUCUUUAUGAAGCCUCUCAACUUUCUACAACCAUUCAUAGUAAUAUUUGGGCCCAUCUCGAGUGAGGAAUAUUUUAGGUGCAAGAUGAUUUAUAUCUCUGUUAAUAAAAAAACUCGAAUCACUAGAUCUUUCUAAUAAAAAAUAAGUAAAAAACCUUUUCUAUUUUUUU
Molecule: RNA transcript, 3694 nt
Organism: Dendrobium catenatum
Lineage: Eukaryota; Viridiplantae; Streptophyta; Magnoliopsida; Asparagales; Orchidaceae
Gene name: ribose-phosphate pyrophosphokinase 4
Exons: 5
Source: RefSeq, a predicted model, not a curated record